Molecule: long non-coding RNA, 1097 nt
Filed under: Sus scrofa (pig)
Lineage: Eukaryota; Metazoa; Chordata; Mammalia; Artiodactyla; Suidae
Description: lncRNA (ENSSSCG00060003778.1)
Source: RNAcentral
GCAAGAACGAAGGAAUGAAAGGACAGUUAUUCUCGAGUCGUUGCUAGAAGUUACAGCAACGAAAACUCUCACUUUCAUAGAGCACGGUGGAAAAUCUAAGCCGCAAGUUUUUGUAGAGAUAAUAUAAUCAACUACCUUAUGUUCUCACCUAGUUCUUUAUUGGACGCCGGUAAGCAGAGCCUGUAGAGGAGUGUCCAGGCGGAGAGAGGCACUCCCCAAAGAUUUAAUUAUAGAUUAUAAAUGAAGGGCUGAGAUCCAGAACAGAGGGAUGAGGCAAAGGCUGCUUAGUUCUUCACUAAACCCACUUCUCUCUUCUUCCAGUACAUUCCUGAUUCUCUGCCAAUGGCAUGAGGGUGGGUGUGAGGUAUGCUGCUUGCAGGGCUGGCCUGGAAACAUCCCACGUGCUUCGGGCCUGCUAGCCUGGGUCCCUGAGUGAUCCACAAUCAUCUAUGACCAGAGCUACAAAUAAAUCCUUACGUCAAGAAUUAAGGAGCUCCCGUUGUGGCUCAGUGGUAAUGAACCUGUCUAAUAUCCGUGAAGAUCUGGGUUCAAUCCCUGGCCUUGCUGAGUGGGUUAAGGAUCUGGCAUUGCUGUGAGCUGUGAUGACGGCUGGCAGCUGUAGCUCCAAUUCGACUCCUAGCCCGGGAACCUCCAUAUGCUGCAGGUACAGCCCCAAAAAGAAAAAAAAAAAAAAAGAAUUAAGUGUUAGAAGCGCCCUCUUGAUGUGGUGAAAUAGAAUCGGUGGCGGUGUCUUUCGAGCUGCUGGGACUCUGGUUGGCUCCCCGGCCCGGCACAGUUGGUUAGGCGUUGGUUGCUGCAGCUGAGGCUUAGGUUGCACUGUGGCUCUGAUCUGAUCCCUGGCUCAGGAGCUCCAUAUGCCUCGGGGUGGCCCAAAAUGACUGAAAACAAAACAAAACAAGAAUUCAGUGUGACAUCACUGAAAUUGUAGGGUUAUCUGUUACCUCCGCUAGCUUAGUCUGAUGCCAAGGAACAAAGAGCCAGGUCCAGUUGUGACCUUGGCAGAGAUGGGAAAGCAGUGAGCAACUGUCAUGAGUCACGCCAGAGGGGACUCAAAGCCCAGAGUAGCUGUGAGGCUG